AGACGAGGCCGCACACUCUCCAGGGACCCUUCAUCCACUCCGGGAGCCGCCGCGCCUGUGAGCGGCAGUUUGUGAUUCCUCGGCCUCGUCGAUGCCCAGGGCCCGGCCAGCCCCUCAGACCUCCGCCACCCCGCUCCACUGUCUCCUUCACGGGUCCCCUUUCCUUCCCCCCGUCUCUUGGUCUAGCCCCCAUCUUUCCCUCUCCUCCCCUCCCCACCUUCCUGACUCUCCCUGGCCCGUCCCCACUUCAACGAUUGAUUUUUUCCCCCUUCAUUCAUUCUUGGACCAAGGGAGUCUGUGUCUGAACUAAACGCUCAUUUCACGUGCUCAGAAAAUAAACAGUUGACCCCUGGAAUAGCCACUGCGUGUCUACAAGUGGCCUCUCGCGCCACUCGAUGGCUCUUCACUCGCCAUAGAGUCAUUGCCGAGCAGAAGCCAGCGCCUCCCUCUUCAGCGAGCGGAGGGCAGCUGAGCCUGUGGGGCCUCCCCGGCAGGGCUCACCUCCUCUGUGCCGUCCACUCCACCCACCGCCUGAACGGGACCGCCGCAGAACCAAGAGUCGCUGAAGCCAGGUGCACCCCGGCGCCUUGUGACUUCCAGCAGUAGCGGGGGAUGGAGAGGAGGUGGCGAGGGUGUGCUGAGACCAAGAGUGCUUUCUUUUUGAAUAUUCUUUAGUUGUAGUUGGACACAACACCUGUAUUUCACUUAUUCAUUUUUAUCUGGUGCUGAGGAUCAGACCCAGGGCCUCGCAUGUGCCAGGCGGGUGCUCUACUGCUGAGCCCAGCCCCAGCACCAGCCCGACGUCCUGGUUUUUUGAUUUGGCAAAAAUACCAUCAGGUCCUCUUCACAGGAGUGUCCAGCGAGCCGCAGGCCCACCUGAGUGGGCAGCCACCCAAGGGGAGUCUCACCUGAGGCCUUCUGCAGAGGCAGGUACUGUGGUGCUCACAGCUUGUCCUGGGCUCCAGUUCUGGCUCUGCUGCCCUCGGGUGAGUUAUCUAACCUCUCUGAGCCUCCGUCUGUGCUUCUGUACAAGCCCAUGAGGAAGGAUUGAUUAAUUAAUAGCAUAACUAAUUGAUUAAGGGCACCACGUGAGCCGCGCCUGGCGUGAGGGGUGGGCUUAGCAAAUUCUUGUCAUCGGUUCUCACUGUUUUGAGGCUGUUCUCUUUGCAGGUGGCAUGGCACCACGGCCCAGGCUCCUAGGCCACCGGGCGCUUGGGACUCUGUGUGACAAAGAGCUCUCUAGAAGAUCUGUGGAAAUGAGCAGACCGGGGGCCACCUGUGCUGUUUCCGUCUGCAGGUGAACUCACCAGGCAAUCAGCCCAUUCAUGUCAACAUGCACCAAGGCGCCUCCUGAGAAGAGGAAGGUGGGGAGGCCUGGUUGGUGUCCUCACCCCCCAUCCUUCCUUCGUUCCCUUCUCUCCUGAAGGAGGCUUCCUGGUACUCCCAUCAGCAGUGACAGCAGGAAGUGGGUUCCCACUGGGCUUCCCGUCCUGCCCUCUUCCCCUCCUGGUUACAGGUCUGUGCCGGGUCACCACCACCUCGGCCUCCAGAGCUGCAGUCCCGGGGCCUGCUUUGAAGGUUGAGGUAUCAAGCGCUCCCAGACACACAGGCUGCAUGUUUGCUGGAUAUGUUGGGCUCGUGGCUGGGGGUUCCCGAGCUGGAGGUACCCUCGCUCCACUGUGGGGUGCAGCUGGAGGACCAGGAGCAGCUUGGGGUCACCCUUGGCCUGUGCAGCCUGGAGAGCCAGCUGACUCCGCCGUCCCCGCCGUCUCCGCACCCCAGGCCGUGCCCGCUCCCUGCUGGUGGAGCCCUCUGUUUCUGGGCUCAGGAAAGCCGCUGGCCACCUGGCCGUGGAGGCAGCCAGCUCCCCUGUACCUUCCUGAAUGGAGGCUUUCCUCUCCGGCUUCCUCCACUCACCUGACACAGGGCUGUCCCAUCCUGAGGGAUGUCGGGACUCUGAAGCGCGGGCCGCGUCGAUCACGCACCAUCUUGUGUGACUUUCUAGUGGGGCUUCUCCUGGGCCAGAUCUUAACACCUCAAGAACAUUGUGGCUGUGGCAUUUCCCCCGUGUGCAUGGCGUGAUGGUGAACACGGGCUCCUACCAGAUACUCGUCCCUUGACUGUGGUGGGGACGGAGUCCUGUGAGCCUGUUCACUCUCUCAGUCCCCAGUUACACAUCAUCCCACACCGUCAGCCAGCCACAGUGUUAAGACCAGAGAGAGAGAGAGAGAGGGAGAGAGAGAGAGAGA
RNAcentral lists this long non-coding RNA (2249 nucleotides) under Marmota monax (woodchuck). Lineage: Eukaryota; Metazoa; Chordata; Mammalia; Rodentia; Sciuridae. The record is from RNAcentral.